GUGUCAGCCGCCGCGGUAAUACGUAGGGUGCGAGCGUUAAUCGGAAUUACUGGGCGUAAAGCGUGCGCAGGCGGUUUUUUAAGCCAGAUGUGAAAUCCCCGGGCUCAACCUGGGAACUGCAUUUGGAACUGGAAGACUAGAGUGUAGAAGAGGGGGGUAGAAUUCCACGUGUAGCAGUGAAAUGCGUAGAUAUGUGGAGGAAUACCGAUGGCGAAGGCAGCCCCCUGGGCUAACACUGACGCUCAUGCACGAAAGCGUGGGGAGCAAACAGGAUUAGAUACCCUAGUAGUCC
This 292-nucleotide ribosomal RNA is filed under the name uncultured bacterium. RNAcentral describes it as "partial 16S ribosomal RNA". It matches the Rfam family "Bacterial small subunit ribosomal RNA", at positions 505 to 796 of the family's 1533-position model. The record is from RNAcentral.